GAUGAACGCUAGCUACAGGCUUAACACAUGCAAGUCGAGGGGUAGCAGGGUAGCAAUACCGCUGACGACCGGCGCACGGGUGAGUAACACGUAUCCAACCUUCCCAUCACUCGGGGAUAGCCUUUCGAAAGAAAGAUUAAUACCCGAUAGUACUUUUUGAGGCAUCUUAAGAAAGUUAAAGAUUUAUUGGUGAUGGAUGGGGAUGCGUUCCAUUAGAUUGUUGGUGAGGUAACGGCUCACCAAGUCUUCGAUGGAUAGGGGUUCUGAGAGGAAGGUCCCCCACAUUGGUACUGAGACACGGACCAAACUCCUACGGGAGGCAGCAGUGAGGAAUAUUGGUCAAUGGGCGAGAGCCUGAACCAGCCAAGUAGCGUGAAGGAUGAAGGUCCUAUGGAUUGUAAACUUCUUUUAUAGUAGAAUAAAGUGAUCCACGUGUGGAUUUUUGUAUGUAUACUAUGAAUAAGGAUCGGCUAACUCCGUGCCAGCAGCCGCGGUAAACAUACUGGUA
RNAcentral lists this ribosomal RNA (508 nucleotides) under uncultured bacterium. Its description in RNAcentral is "bacterial SSU rRNA". It matches the Rfam family "Bacterial small subunit ribosomal RNA", at positions 28 to 532 of the family's 1533-position model. The record is from RNAcentral.